CAGUAGCCGCGGGAAUACGUAGGGUGCGAGCGUUAAUCGGAAUUACUGGGCGUAAAGCGUGCGCAGGCGGUUGUGUAAGACAGGUGUGAAAUCCCCGGGCUUAACCUGGGAAUGGCAGUGGAUACUGGCUCGCUAGAGUGUGUCAGAGGAUGGUGGAAUUCCCGGUGUAGCGGUGAAAUGCGUAGAGAUCGGGAGGAACAUCAGUGGCGAAGGCGGCCAUCUGGGACAACACUGACGCUGAGGCACGAAAGCGUGGGGAGCGAACAGGAUUAGAUACCCCUUAGUCCCGUCUCUUAUACAC
RNAcentral lists this ribosomal RNA (301 nucleotides) under uncultured bacterium. RNAcentral describes it as "partial 16S ribosomal RNA". It matches the Rfam family "Bacterial small subunit ribosomal RNA", at positions 509 to 809 of the family's 1533-position model. The record is from RNAcentral.